Molecule: ribosomal RNA, 919 nt
Filed under: uncultured Armatimonadota bacterium
Lineage: Bacteria; Bacillati; Armatimonadota
Description: bacterial SSU rRNA
Rfam family: Bacterial small subunit ribosomal RNA
Source: RNAcentral
UAGGAGCGGUUCAUGGCCUAUCAGGUAGUUGGUGGGGUAAUGGCCUACCAAGCCGACGACAGGUAGCGGGUCUGAGAGGAUGAUCCGCCCGAGUGGGACUGAGACACGGCCCACACACCUACGGGUGGCAGCAGUUGGGAAUCUUGCACAAUGGGGGAAACCCUGAUGCAGCGACGCCGCGUGGAGGACAAAGGGUCUAGGCCUGUAAACUCCUUUUAUCGGGAAAGACUUAGGACGGUACCCGAUGAAUAAGGACCGGCUAACUACGUGCCAGCAGCCGCGGUAAGACGUAGGGUCCAAGCGUUGUCCGGAUUUACUGGGCGUAAAGAGCGCGUAGGCGGCUCGUUAAGUGUAGAGUGAAAUCUCUGGGCUCACCCCAGAAACCGCUCUGCAUACUGGCGAGCUGGAGUGUCGGAGAGGUAUGUGGAAUUCCUGGUGUAGCGGUGAAAUGCGUUGAUAUCAGGAGGAACACCCAUGGCGAAGGCAGCAUACUGGCCGACCACUGACGCUGAGGCGCGAAAGCGUGGGUAGCAAACAGGAUUAGAUACCCUGGUAGUCCACGCCCUAAACGAUGGAUACUAGGCGUAAGGGGUAUCGACCCCCCUUGUGCCGCAGCUAACGCACUAAGUAUCCCGCCUGGGGAGUACGGCCGCAAGGUUGAAACUCAAAUGAAUUGACGGGGACCCGCACAAGCGGUGGAGCAUGUGGAUUAAUUCGAUACUAACCGAAGAACCUUACCCAGACUUGACAUCGAUCGCAAAGCCUAGAAAUAGGCUCCUCCCCCACAAGGGGACGUGAAGACACUUGUUGCAUGGCUGUCGUCAGCUCGUGCCGUGAGGUGUACGGUUAAGUCCGCCAACGAGCGCAACCCACGUCCUGUGUUACCAGCGAGAAAGUCGGGCACUCACAGGAGACCGCC